Suricata suricatta (meerkat) is the source of this 446-nucleotide long non-coding RNA. RefSeq lists it as uncharacterized. The record is from RefSeq and is a predicted model, not a curated record. The transcript is spliced from 3 exons. NCBI's taxonomy places the organism in Eukaryota, Metazoa, Chordata, Mammalia, Carnivora, Herpestidae.
UUCCACAAGACGCUUUUGCUCCCAGACAGCUCUCUGGCUUGCACCUGGGAGUCUCAGAUACAGAAGCCAAGGACAAUGACAGGGUCUUCCGCACUAGCUCCCACUCAAACAAUUGGAAUUGCCUAGAUGGUAGCAGGAAUCAUGCCAAGGAAAACCCAGGACAGAUUUCAGGAAAGGAUAAACACAGAAGCAGAAAGCCAACCUCUUAAAAAGUACUUCCGAACUGGAGACCAACCUUCCUCUCCAGCUCUGUAGGUACUUCAUAACCACUCUGAACAAGUACCAAGGACUCUCCUACCACACCCUUUCCCCUCUAAGUCUACAGGAUUCCUGGUUACCUUGAGGACAGAAAGCGUGGAAGGACACAGAAGAUCUCAGCAAAGUUCUCGAGGCCCUGUCUUAGAAGCAUCCGAUUUUCAUUUUCCCUUUGGCAUUUUCCCAUAUAA